CCUACGGGUGGCAGCAGUGGGGAAUAUUGGACAAUGGGCGAAAGCCUGAUCCAGCCAUGCCGCGUGUGUGAAGAAGGCCUUCGGGUUGUAAAGCACUUUCAGUGGGGAAGAAAGCCUUGGGGCUAAUACCCUCGAGGAAGGACAUCACCCACUGAAGAAGCACCGGCUAACUCCGUGCCAGCAGCCGCGGUAAUACGGAGGGUGCGAGCGUUAAUCGGAAUUACUGGGCGUAAAGCGCGCGUAGGCGGUCUGAUAAGCCGGUUGUGAAAGCCCCGGGCUCAACCUGGGAACGGCAUCCGGAACUGUCAGGCUAGAGUGCAGGAGAGGAAGGUAGAAUUCCCGGUGUAGCGGUGAAAUGCGUAGAGAUCGGGAGGAAUACCAGUGGCGAAGGCGGCCUUCUGGACUGACACUGACGCUGAGGUGCGAAAGCGUGGGUAGCAAACAGGAUUAGAUACCCCGGUAGUC
This 465-nucleotide ribosomal RNA is filed under the name Vreelandella stevensii. Its description in RNAcentral is "partial 16S ribosomal RNA". It matches the Rfam family "Bacterial small subunit ribosomal RNA", at positions 338 to 795 of the family's 1533-position model. Lineage: Bacteria; Pseudomonadati; Pseudomonadota; Gammaproteobacteria; Oceanospirillales; Halomonadaceae. The record is from RNAcentral.